ACAUGGCUAGCUCAGUCGGUAGAGCAUGAGACUCUUUAUCUCAGGGUCAUGGGCUUGAGCACCAUGUUGGGUG
This 73-nucleotide transfer RNA is filed under the name Loxodonta africana (African savanna elephant). It matches the Rfam family "tRNA". From Rfam's summary of the family: Transfer RNA (tRNA) molecules are approximately 80 nucleotides in length. Their secondary structure includes four short double-helical elements and three loops (D, anti-codon, and T loops). Lineage: Eukaryota; Metazoa; Chordata; Mammalia; Proboscidea; Elephantidae. The record is from Rfam by way of RNAcentral.